Molecule: ribosomal RNA, 495 nt
Filed under: uncultured bacterium
Lineage: Bacteria
Description: partial 16S ribosomal RNA
Rfam family: Bacterial small subunit ribosomal RNA
Source: RNAcentral
GACGAACGCUGGCGGCGUGCCUAAUACAUGCAAGUAGAACGCUGAAGGAGGAGCUUGCUUCUCUGGAUGAGUUGCGAACGGGUGAGUAACGCGUAGGUAACCUGCCUGGUAGCGGGGGAUAACUAUUGGAAACGAUAGCUAAUACCGCAUAAUAGUAGAUGUUGCAUGACAUUUGCUUAAAAGGUGCAAUUGCAUCACUACCAGAUGGACCUGCGUUGUAUUAGCUAGUUGGUGAGGUAACGGCUCACCAAGGCGACGAUACAUAGCCGACCUGAGAGGGUGAUCGGCCACACUGGGACUGAGACACGGCCCAGACUCCUACGGGAGGCAGCAGUAGGGAAUCUUCGGCAAUGGACGGAAGUCUGACCGAGCAACGCCGCGUGAGUGAAGAAGGUUUUCGGAUCGUAAAGCUCGGUUGUAAGAGAAGAACGAGUGUGAGAGUGGAAAGUUCACACUGUGACGGUAUCUUACCAGAAAGGGACGGCUAACUACGUG